UACGUAGGGGGCUAGCGUUGUCCGGAAUUACUGGGCGUAAAGAGCACGUAGGCGGGAACUUAAGUCAGGUGUGAAAGACCGUGGCUCAACCACGGGUAUGCAUUUGAAACUGGGUUUCUUGAGGGCAGGAGAGGAAAGCAGAAUUCCUGGUGUAGCGGUGAAAUGCGUAGAAAUCAGGAGGAAUACCAGUGGCGAAGGCGGCUUUCUGGACUGACCCUGACGCUGAGGUGCGAAAGCGUGGGUAGCAAACAGGAUUAGAUACCCUGGUAGUCCCUGA
RNAcentral lists this ribosomal RNA (277 nucleotides) under uncultured prokaryote. Its description in RNAcentral is "partial 16S ribosomal RNA". It matches the Rfam family "Bacterial small subunit ribosomal RNA", at positions 524 to 800 of the family's 1533-position model. The record is from RNAcentral.